This 111-nucleotide ribosomal RNA is filed under the name Oscillospiraceae bacterium. Its description in RNAcentral is "partial 23S ribosomal RNA". It matches the Rfam family "Bacterial large subunit ribosomal RNA", at positions 2813 to 2925 of the family's 2925-position model. The record is from RNAcentral. Lineage: Bacteria; Bacillati; Bacillota; Clostridia; Eubacteriales; Oscillospiraceae.
CCCACCCUUCGGGGGUAAGGGUCGAUGUAGACUACAUCGUCGAUAGGUCGGAGGUGUACGCACAGUAAUGUGUUCAGCUGACCGAUACUAAUAACCCGAGGGCUUGACCUA